UGGCUGAAGCGCUCCUUGUUGGCUUCGAGAAGGCUGCGCAGGUGGAGCUGGGAGCCGUGCUCGCGGUACCGCUGCUGCAGCUUCUGGCACUGUGGUCUGGAUCAGGUAAAGAAAAAGGAACAUGCGUGCGGGAGGGAAUUAACCAGUCACUACCUGCAUAGGCACAAAGACUGGUAUAAACCCAGAAGGAAGUUUCCAGGCAGGCACCUGAGUCUCAGUUACAGGUCGGGUGAGGCGGAGGCGAGCUCGAAGCAGGGGCCGCUGCGAAAGUGGAGCUCCCAGGGCUUCAGCCUGCAGCCUCGGGGGAAGUCUCGUCCGUCCGGUGGAGGAAGAGUUUCUCACCUAUAGGAAGAACAUCGGACAGACGCCGUUUGGGGCGCACGUCCUCCUCCCCGACCCCCGGACGCAGAGGGAGUGGAGCCGGCUGAUGAGCGCCCCGCGGCCCACCCCCCCCGCCUCCCCCGGCCCUGCUCUCCGCCGUCCCCCUGGGGGGCGUGGAGGGGGGGAGCAGCCUCCGCGGGAGACCCGAGGCCCGGUGUGCGGACCUCCCUCCCAGGGCUGCGACCCUAGACAGGACUCCAUUUUAUCCGUGUGCGUAUCAUCCAAUUACAGAAUUCCCGGCACGGAUCGGUGUCCUGGUGGUAAUUUGCCUGAAGAAGGAAAGCGCAACACUCUGGAGGGCAGAGGGCGCAUCCCGAGAGCCCUGGGUUUCCUGUGCCGCCCGCCAGGCGUGGCGACUGAGGGGCAGCGUGGUCGGCGGGUACCUGGGGGCCCGCCCGUCGAAGGUGCACCGGGCGUCUCGGAGGACGCGUUCUUACAGGCAGCAGGAGAGCGCGCGCCUCUGGGGAGCACAGGACCCAGGUCAUUCCCACGCUGAGUCCCCAAGAGACAGCUGGGCUGGUGACGUCGCGACCCAACUCCUGGAAAUCGGGCUGUCCUGGCAGCGAAGAGGGAUGGGAGCAUAAACAAUAACAAUAACUAAAGAAGUAGGAGGUCGGGAUGACUCACAGUGGUGAGUCCAAAACACGGAGUCCGCAGUGAGCGUCUGUACAGCCGAAGAUUGCUCUUCCUCGCCCGGGCACCCAAGAUGAAACGCGGGGCACCUCCCUCUGAGUUCCUGCUGAGUCCCAGCGAUGCAAAAAAUAAUUAGCAGAGGAAGGCGUUUAUUGAAAGAAAACAGCUCCAGCAUGGAGGGGAGGUUGAAACAACUCACCCUUCUCUGUGGUUAUUCCUUUACGUGUAGGCUGUGUUUCAUCCCCUUCCAAUCAGAUUCCUAUUCCAUUCAGUCAUUCCUCCAACGAACCCACUGGGGCCCUUUGCCCUCAGAGCACUGCCUUACGGCAGCCAGUUCCCUCUUAGUCACAGUGGUUGACUGUUUGCCUCAGGAAGUCUGGAAGGUAGUCAUAACCUCCAGGGUGGUCACACAGGUAAUCUAAAUAUACCUUAACUAAGCAGGAAAACUGGAACCUGCAUGCUUCUGACCCAUACAACUACUAUGUUACAUAGGUGGCAAAGGGGACAGCAGAUCUGAGAUGGAGUCACUGUGGCUAUACCUAGCUCCAUAACCAAGGCCACAGGGCCUCAUCCUUCAGGAGUACAGGCUCAGUAAUCUGGCUACUAUGCUGGACACAUGCUCAGGACUCUUCCCUCCAAACAAAUGUCUCUCCCUGGCCUUGCUCACACCUGGGUUGCUUGAGCUCAGGAGUUGGAGACCAACCUGUGUUGGAGCCGGGAUGCUAGGUCACUGGCCCCAGCCCGUGAAACUGCCAGGACGCAGACCACUGUACAAGCUUGCUCAGGGUAUGGCUCCCCAUAAGUGCCGGGGACCCCGUUGUCUCAGUCAGGUAAAGCUCCCAAUCAGGAGGAGCCAAUUGUCUCAGUGAGGUCAGAGGUGCCAGAGUGCCUCAAAGAUGCAGCAGUCAGUCUUAGUGGGAGCCUCGACUAGCUUCUUCUGUGGCUGUUUAUAUUUAUACCACCACUGUGAUGACUGCCGAGCAAUGAUAUAUGUACCUGGGUGCUCUAGUGCCUCUUAAUGAGAGACCAAUCCCUUCCCCAUUCCCUUUUUACCAACGUGUUUCU
Molecule: long non-coding RNA, 2079 nt
Organism: Otolemur garnettii (small-eared galago)
Lineage: Eukaryota; Metazoa; Chordata; Mammalia; Primates; Galagidae
Exons: 4
Source: RefSeq, a predicted model, not a curated record